Molecule: transfer RNA, 72 nt
Filed under: Camelus bactrianus (Bactrian camel)
Lineage: Eukaryota; Metazoa; Chordata; Mammalia; Artiodactyla; Camelidae
Also listed under: 1 other name
Rfam family: tRNA
About the family: Transfer RNA (tRNA) molecules are approximately 80 nucleotides in length. Their secondary structure includes four short double-helical elements and three loops (D, anti-codon, and T loops).
Source: Rfam by way of RNAcentral
GAGGGUGUAGCUCAGCAGUAGAGCACGUGCUUAGCAUGCACGAGGUCCUGGGUUCAACCCCCAGUACCUCCU